This is a long non-coding RNA of Pseudoliparis swirei, 504 nucleotides long. RefSeq lists it as uncharacterized. The transcript has 3 exons. The record is from RefSeq and is a predicted model, not a curated record. Lineage: Eukaryota; Metazoa; Chordata; Actinopteri; Perciformes; Liparidae.
UCUUAGUCUUAUAGUUUGAGCUGAAUCAGGUUCACCUGGUCCAGACCUAGAGAUGCUGCUGGUGGACGCUUAGGACACACUGAGCAUCUUCUUUCCUUUUGUCCCCGUGAAAGUUUUUUCAGUAAUCGUUGGAGCUCGCCAUGUUUUCGACGCGUUGCCAUCGGGGUGAUUAAGAUCUGAAGUGAACCAGAGAAACUCAGCCACGCGGACGAUCCACGAGCAACGAUCUGUGGCUCCGACGGCAUUUGCCCUUUGACCCGACCGAGGGAGCCGCCGCACGUUUGAUGCCCUAAAAUCAUCCAUGCCACAUAAGUAUAAUGUACGACCAGACGACGCGUCCUGCUCAUCCCUCUGCUCGCUUCUUUAAUCCAGGGAGAACCAAUGGAGGGAUUGAAAAGGUGAAGAUGGUCACAGCGGGCAGAUGGCCGUCCGAUACGACCGCCACGCCGGAAAGAAGCGUUGCGCAAAACCGUCGAAAGAAACCGUCAUUUAGGGAUGUUUGAG